This 570-nucleotide long non-coding RNA is filed under the name Vigna radiata. Its description in RNAcentral is "long non-coding RNA (VRAD_LNC012928)". The record is from RNAcentral. Lineage: Eukaryota; Viridiplantae; Streptophyta; Magnoliopsida; Fabales; Fabaceae.
UUCUUUUUCUUCUUCCUUCUGAAUCUCUUCAAAAAGUUGAUCAAACCAAGCACCGGUUUCCAUGUUUCAAUCAUAGGAAUUUUAAUCUCUAAUUUCUUGAAGAUCUCCAUACAGUACUUGAACUUCUUUUCCUUCUUAUGAUUUUUCUUUUUAUAAGGAGGGGGCUUUUCAUAUGAUCUGUUCUUCUUUCCUCUCUUCCUCUUUCUUAUUUUCUUUUUUCUUGUUUUCCUAUUUUUUUCUUUUUUCUCAACCACUGCUUUUUCUUCCUCCUCAUCUUUCUCUCCCUCACUCAACCUUUCUGCUUCAUCUUCCUCUAUUUUCUCCUCUUCUAUCUUUUCCACUUCUCUCUCCACCUUCUCUUCAUCAACAACCUCAUCAAUUUGUGUCUCCAAAUUCCUAAAGGUAACUUCAUUUCUCUUGCAAUCACACCUCUCUAUAAAUUUUUUGAACUUUUCAUUCAAGAUUUUAACUUGUUCUGUCACAUCAGCUAUUUGUUGACAAAGUUGUUGAUCAUACUCCCACGUUUCUAUUGGGGAAGAGCAUUGUUGCUGCCAUUGAUAAUGUUGCCUC